RNAcentral lists this ribosomal RNA (2901 nucleotides) under Klebsiella pneumoniae. RNAcentral's name for it is "23S ribosomal RNA". It matches the Rfam family "Bacterial large subunit ribosomal RNA". Lineage: Bacteria; Pseudomonadati; Pseudomonadota; Gammaproteobacteria; Enterobacterales; Enterobacteriaceae. The record is from RNAcentral.
GGUUAAGCGACUAAGCGUACACGGUGGAUGCCCUGGCAGUCAGAGGCGAUGAAGGACGUGCUAAUCUGCGAAAAGCGUCGGUAAGGUGAUAUGAACCGUUACAGCCGGCGAUGUCCGAAUGGGGAAACCCAGUGCAAUUCGUUGCACUAUCGUUAACUGAAUACAUAGGUUAACGAGGCGAACCGGGGGAACUGAAACAUCUAAGUACCCCGAGGAAAAGAAAUCAACCGAGAUUCCCCCAGUAGCGGCGAGCGAACGGGGAGCAGCCCAGAGUCUGAAUCAGCUUGUGUGUUAGUGGAACGGUCUGGAAAGUCCGACGGUACAGGGUGAUAGUCCCGUACACCAAAAUGCACAGGUUGUGAACUCGAAGAGUAGGGCGGGACACGUGGUAUCCUGUCUGAAUAUGGGGGGACCAUCCUCCAAGGCUAAAUACUCCUGACUGACCGAUAGUGAACCAGUACCGUGAGGGAAAGGCGAAAAGAACCCCGGCGAGGGGAGUGAAAAAGAACCUGAAACCGUGUACGUACAAGCAGUGGGAGCACCUUCGGGUGUGACUGCGUACCUUUUGUAUAAUGGGUCAGCGACUUAUAUUCUGUAGCAAGGUUAACCGUAUAGGGGAGCCGCAGGGAAACCGAGUCUUAACUGGGCGUUAAGUUGCAGGGUAUAGACCCGAAACCCGGUGAUCUAGCCAUGGGCAGGUUGAAGGUUGGGUAACACUAACUGGAGGACCGAACCGACUAAUGUUGAAAAAUUAGCGGAUGACUUGUGGCUGGGGGUGAAAGGCCAAUCAAACCGGGAGAUAGCUGGUUCUCCCCGAAAGCUAUUUAGGUAGCGCCUCGUGAACUCAUCUUCGGGGGUAGAGCACUGUUUCGGCUAGGGGGUCAUCCCGACUUACCAACCCGAUGCAAACUACGAAUACCGAAGAAUGUUAUCACGGGAGACACACGGCGGGUGCUAACGUCCGUCGUGAAGAGGGAAACAACCCAGACCGCCAGCUAAGGUCCCAAAGUCAUGGUUAAGUGGGAAACGAUGUGGGAAGGCACAGACAGCCAGGAUGUUGGCUUAGAAGCAGCCAUCAUUUAAAGAAAGCGUAAUAGCUCACUGGUCGAGUCGGCCUGCGCGGAAGAUGUAACGGGGCUAAACCAUGCACCGAAGCUGCGGCAGCGACACUAUGUGUUGUUGGGUAGGGGAGCGUUCUGUAAGCCUGCGAAGGUGACCUGUGAGGGUUGCUGGAGGUAUCAGAAGUGCGAAUGCUGACAUAAGUAACGAUAAAGCGGGUGAAAAGCCCGCUCGCCGGAAGACCAAGGGUUCCUGUCCAACGUUAAUCGGGGCAGGGUGAGUCGACCCCUAAGGCGAGGCCGAAAGGCGUAGUCGAUGGGAAACAGGUUAAUAUUCCUGUACUUGGUGUUACUGCGAAGGGGGACGGAGAAGGCUAUGUUAGCCGGGCGACGGUUGUCCCGGUUUAAGCAUGUAGGCUGGUUAUCCAGGCAAAUCCGGAUAAUCAAGGCUGAGGUGUGAUGACGAGGCACUACGGUGCUGAAGUAACAAAUGCCCUGCUUCCAGGAAAAGCCUCUAAGCAUCAGGUAACAUCAAAUCGUACCCCAAACCGACACAGGUGGUCAGGUAGAGAAUACCAAGGCGCUUGAGAGAACUCGGGUGAAGGAACUAGGCAAAAUGGUGCCGUAACUUCGGGAGAAGGCACGCUGGUGUGUAGGUGAAGCCCCUGCGGGUGGAGCUGAGACCAGUCGAAGAUACCAGCUGGCUGCAACUGUUUAUUAAAAACACAGCACUGUGCAAACACGAAAGUGGACGUAUACGGUGUGACGCCUGCCCGGUGCCGGAAGGUUAAUUGAUGGGGUUAUCCGUAAGGAGAAGCUCUUGAUCGAAGCCCCGGUAAACGGCGGCCGUAACUAUAACGGUCCUAAGGUAGCGAAAUUCCUUGUCGGGUAAGUUCCGACCUGCACGAAUGGCGUAAUGAUGGCCAGGCUGUCUCCACCCGAGACUCAGUGAAAUUGAACUCGCUGUGAAGAUGCAGUGUACCCGCGGCAAGACGGAAAGACCCCGUGAACCUUUACUAUAGCUUGACACUGAACAUUGAGCCUUGAUGUGUAGGAUAGGUGGGAGGCUUUGAAGCGUGGACGCCAGUCUGCGUGGAGCCAACCUUGAAAUACCACCCUUUAAUGUUUGAUGUUCUAACGUUGGCCCCUUACCGGGGUUGCGGACAGUGUCUGGUGGGUAGUUUGACUGGGGCGGUCUCCUCCCAAAGCGUAACGGAGGAGCACGAAGGUUAGCUAAUCCUGGUCGGACAUCAGGAGGUUAGUGCAAUGGCAUAAGCUAGCUUGACUGCGAGCGUGACGGCGCGAGCAGGUGCGAAAGCAGGUCAUAGUGAUCCGGUGGUUCUGAAUGGAAGGGCCAUCGCUCAACGGAUAAAAGGUACUCCGGGGAUAACAGGCUGAUACCGCCCAAGAGUUCAUAUCGACGGCGGUGUUUGGCACCUCGAUGUCGGCUCAUCACAUCCUGGGGCUGAAGUAGGUCCCAAGGGUAUGGCUGUUCGCCAUUUAAAGUGGUACGCGAGCUGGGUUUAGAACGUCGUGAGACAGUUCGGUCCCUAUCUGCCGUGGGCGCUGGAGAAUUGAGGGGGGCUGCUCCUAGUACGAGAGGACCGGAGUGGACGCAUCACUGGUGUUCGGGUUGUCAUGCCAAUGGCACUGCCCGGUAGCUAAAUGCGGAAGAGAUAAGUGCUGAAAGCAUCUAAGCACGAAACUUGCCCCGAGAUGAGUUCUCCCUGAGACUUUAAGUCUCCUGAAGGAACGUUAAAGACGAUGACGUUGAUAGGCCGGGUGUGUAAGCGCAGCGAUGCGUUGAGCUAACCGGUACUAAUGAACCGUGAGGCUUAACCUU